Molecule: ribosomal RNA, 440 nt
Filed under: uncultured bacterium
Lineage: Bacteria
Description: partial 16S ribosomal RNA
Rfam family: Bacterial small subunit ribosomal RNA
Source: RNAcentral
CCUACGGGUGGCAGCAGUGGGGGAUAUUGCACAAUGGGGGAAACCCUGAUGCAGCGACGCCGCGUGUGGGAAGACGGUCCUCUGGAUUGUAAACCACUGUCUCCAGGGACGAAGAUGACGGUACCUGGGGAGGAAGAUCCGGCUAACUACGUGCCAGCAGCCGCGGUAAUACGUAGGGAGCGAGCGUUGCCCGGAAUUACUGGGGGUAAAGGGAGCGUAGGCGGGACUGCAAGUUGGGUGUAAAAUCUACCGGCCAAACCGGUAGGCGCACUCGAAACUGGAGUUCUUGAGUGAAGUAGAGGUAGGGGGAAGUCCUGGUGUAGCGGUGGAAUGCGUAGAUAUUAGGAGGAACACCAGUGGCGAAGGCGGUCUGCUGGGCUUUUACUGACGCUGAGGCUCGAAAGUGUGGGGAGCAAACAGGAUUAGAUACCCUAGUAGUC